Molecule: ribosomal RNA, 109 nt
Filed under: Castor canadensis (American beaver)
Lineage: Eukaryota; Metazoa; Chordata; Mammalia; Rodentia; Castoridae
Source: RNAcentral
GUCUAAGGCCAUACCACCCUGAACACGCCCGAUCUCGUCUGAUCUCGGAAGCUAAGCAGGGUCGGGCCUGGUUAGUACUUGGAUGGGAGAGAUCUGCUUGUCUCAUCCU